GAGUUUGAUCUUGGCUCAGAGUGAACGCUGGCGGUAGGCCUAACACAUGCAAGUCGAACGGCAGCACAGUAAGAGCUUGCUCUUACGGGUGGCGAGUGGCGGACGGGUGAGGAAUACAUCGGAAUCUACUUUUCCGUGGGGAGUAACGUAGGGAAACGUUACGCUAAUACCGCAUACGACCUACGGUGAAAGACAGGGGAGUCUUCGGACCUUGCGCGAUUGAAUGAGCCGAUGUCGGA
Molecule: ribosomal RNA, 239 nt
Filed under: uncultured microorganism
Description: partial 16S ribosomal RNA
Rfam family: Bacterial small subunit ribosomal RNA
Source: RNAcentral